Long non-coding RNA from Bos taurus (domestic cattle), 3332 nucleotides. The record is from Ensembl. NCBI's taxonomy places the organism in Eukaryota, Metazoa, Chordata, Mammalia, Artiodactyla, Bovidae.
GGGGCCUUGGAACUGGCCAGCUUACUAGGGCAGAGAAGAAGCUGGGAGGUUACCCCUGGGCUCAGGGCGGAUUCCAGCAAUACUGGACGGGACAUUAGUUUUAUAGCCCUGUGACGAAUCUAGGGACAGAGUACCUGGAGCUGUUUUCUCAGACAUGCACUGGCCCAGGGCCUGCCCCUGGUUUAGCCUUGAACAGAGGAGCCAACAGAGGGGGAAGCACCCACUUCCUGCCCAGAGAGGGGCACGUUUCUGUGGGGCGAUUCUGCACUGUCCUUUUCUGCCUUGUCACAGCAUGUGGGAUCUAGUUCCCUGACCAGGGAGCAUGGAGUCUUAGCUGCUGGACCACCAGGGAGGUCCCUGCUCUCUGUGACCUUGACUGACGUUACUUGGCACCUUCCAACUUGGUGAAUCAACUUGCACGACUUGAAGGAUCUAGGUUCCCUGACCACGUAUUGAAGCGGGGCCACGGCAGUGAAAACCUGGAAUUCUAAGCACUAGGCAAGCGGGGAACUCCCCUGACCAUGGAUUUUAAUCAUACUGGCAAACUAUCUUCAAAGUACUACCCGUACUAGUGUUUGAUUGAGCAACUGGAGAUCGUAGCCUAGCGAAACUGACACAUAAAACUGACCAUCACAAGUAUGAUGGUAUUAUGGGUAUGUGCAAAAACAUCUUUGUUCUCAGAAGAUACAGCUUGAAAAAGUUAAGGACCCAUGUGAUUACCUUGGACCUACCUGCAUAACCCAAGAUAAUCUCACCGUCUCAGGAUCCUUCACUGAACUACAUCUGCAAAAUCAAAGAGAUCUACUGACCAUGGCUGGGACUCCAAGGAGAGAAUGGAGAAUCCUGGAAAGACAUAGCAGAUAUCUUUUCUUGAGUGCCACUUGCAACACCCCAAGAAUGAACAUUUUCCCCUGAGCCCACACUUGUCUUAGUUAUGUAUGGUUAUCUGUAUAGAAAAUUGAGGGCAGGAGGAGAAGGUGGCAACAGAGGAUUAGAUAGUUGGAUGGCGUCAUCAACCUGAUGGACAUGAGUUUGAGCAAACUCCGAGAGAUGGUGAUGACAGGGAAGCCUGGCGUGCUGCAGUCCAUGGGGUCGCAAAGAGUCAGACAGGACUUAGGGACUGAACAACAACAGUCUUUGUGGUUGAAUAGUAUGGAGGCCCAUUUUAAGCUGAGUUAGAGGAAAGGAUUUUCAACAUAGCAGUACUCAAGUAAACUGCUUGAAUGGUUGUUUUUCUGGAGUGAACCACAACUCAGCCUCAAAUUUGCCUGGAAAGAGGCACCUGAAGAUGAUAUGUCAACAUCUAGCACCCUGACUCAUAUUCUAUUCCUGCAACUGUGUGCUCUAUGGGAGCAGGGCGGUUAGGAGGGCCAAUGACCACAGGUUCUCAUCCUAGUUUAUCACUACCAGAUAUGUGACUUUGACUGAGUUUCUGAAUCUUUUAUGCCAACAUACCUAACCCAGAGUAGGUUUCCAUUUCUUUCUUCAGUGGAUCUUUCCCUGGGUCGGGAAGAUCUCCUGGAGAAGGAAAUGGCAACCAACUCCAGUAUUCUUGCCUGGAUUCCAUGGAUAGAGAAACCUGGAGGGCGGGUUGCAGUCCAUGGGGUCGCAAAGAGUCAGACGUGACUAAGCACGAGCAUGCACACACACCCCUAACCCAAAUAAGCAAACACAAUCUUUCUUGGUAGAUUUUUGGCAUUCUUCAGUAUUUGCAAUGGUGGGGGCCCAUUACGUGAACUUUUGCAGCUCCACUAUUGAGUUUCAAGGAAGAGAAGUCUCCGGCUGAGUCCUGCUACACAUAGAUGUCUAUUAGCAAGUAGGUACAGGACAUGUAUCGUCCCUAUUCAGUAAGUUUGGUGGAAGCUCGGCUAUUGAUUCCCUAUAGCACCCCUUGCAUAAAAGUCACCUCUGAGGCCAGUGCAGCUAUAUUUCAGUGGCAGGAUUCUGUGAGCUGUUUUGUUGGAGUCAGGCAACCAACAAAACCCUGGAAUCAGCAGGUACACUCAGGACCUUUUACAAAUGCUGAUCAGCCUUGGGGGUCAUUGAUAAGGGUUAAGUUUCUUAUGUACCACUGAUGCCAGUGGCUCUUGAAAUUAUAUUUUUCAUCUAUGUAUGUUGAACAAGCUAUUAAUUUGACCAAUGAAAACUCAUGUUUAAUAUCCAUUAGGCUAAUGAAAAAGCUUCAAGUGCUGGUGAGAGAUAAAAACAGCUGAGGAGCUUAUAGCAGCUCCCUCUGGAGUGGGGCCUUCUGAUUAGAUGCCAGCAAACCACCCAUGGAGUGUAUAUUCCUGAUUAGGGCAUGACUGUCAUGAGGGUGUAGGCCAAACGAACUAAUAUGCAUAUUUAUAGCACAUUGUUUAUGUUGAAAUAUUUUAAAGCAAGCUACAGAUGACAUGAGACCUCUCACACCCUGGCUUCCUCUUCUGUAAAAUGAGGGUAAUGACACCUACCUCACACGGUUGUCACCAGACUAAUAAACUAAGAGAAAGCUUAGUAUGUGGUUUAGUCAUUCAGUUGUGUCCAACUCUUGCAGCCCCAUGGACUGUACCCCUCAAGGUUCCUGUGUCCAUGGGAUUUUCCAGGAAAGAAUACUGAAGUGGGUAGCCAUUUCCUUCUCCAGGGGAUCUUCCUGACCCAGGGAUCGAACCCCCAUCUCCUGUGUUACAGACGAUCUCCUGCAUUGCAGGCAGAUUUCUUUACCAACUGAGCCACCAGGGAAGCUCAAAGCUUAGUAUAUUGCCUGGUAAAUACUAGCGGCUCAGAAGGUGUUAGCUGAUAUUGUUAUUUCUUGCCUAGAUACACUUAAGCAAACUUUUUUGAGAAAUUAUGUACCCUAUUGAACACUUCAAAGUUGACAUCUAAAACUUUUCAUUACAGACAUACGUAAUAGAAAAGGAUUUAAUUUCUGACAUGUAGCAAUUAUUACAAUUUUAAAUUAAAACUGAUAUAUCAAUCUUUUAAAUAUAUACAAUGAAAUCUAAAUACAAUGCUUGGGUGCCGGGUAUCCUGAUUUUAAAAACACACAAGCAAACUUUUCUUUCCUGUGAAAACUCUUCUGUGAUAAAGUAGGACAUUUUAUUUCUUUACUUUUUCUUCUUGAAUUUGCAUUUCCAUUUCACUUACCCUACAAAAUUUUCUUCUAAUGUAAUAUAUUGAAAGCCUCUUACUGAUUGGGCUGUUGAGUUUUUUGCAACAAAUGUAUGUAUGUAAAUAAAAGUUUUAUAAUUCAUUUUAUUUCCUGUUACCUUAAGCCUCCAAAUGUUAGAAAUAUUUAGUUUGGGUUACCAUCACAGUUAUUUUUUUUUUUUGUGAGGAGUUGAUCAGAAUGACAU